UACGUAGGUGGCAAGCGUUAUCCGGAUUUAUUGGGUGUAAAGGGCGUGUAGGCGGGAGCGCAAGUCAGAUGUGAAAACUCAGGGCUCAACCCUGAGCCUGCAUUUGAAACUGCGUUUCUUGAGUGCUGGAGAGGCAAUCGGAAUUCCGUGUGUAGCGGUGAAAUGCGUAGAUAUACGGAGGAACACCAGUGGCGAAGGCGGAUUGCUGGACAGUAACUGACGCUGAGGCGCGAAAGCGUGGGGAGCAAACAGG
RNAcentral lists this ribosomal RNA (253 nucleotides) under uncultured bacterium. RNAcentral describes it as "partial 16S ribosomal RNA". It matches the Rfam family "Bacterial small subunit ribosomal RNA", at positions 524 to 776 of the family's 1533-position model. The record is from RNAcentral.